CACGAAGCAAUUUGAGCUAAUUUAAUACAUAUAUUAGGAUUAUAGUAUGUUGCAUAAUAUAUAAUGAUUUUAAAUUAGGAGUGAUAUUCUUUCCACAAUUUGCGAUAUCUUGAUGUAUCUAACAAGUAUUUAGUACAAUUACAAUUAAUAAGCGCUUAGGUUUAUUAAAAAUAUUAAUAGUUAUAAUAUUUAUCUGUUUUAUUUAAUAAUUAACAUGUCUAUUUUCUUAAUAUUAUUAUAUAUUAUUUAUAAUUAUUAGGAUACAACAUUAAUUCAUAUAAUUGUAAUUUAAUGUUAUUAUUAGUAAUAAAUAGAUAUUUAUAAUGAACUUGGCAAUUCAUCUUUCAACUGUUUAUCAAAAACAUAGUUAUUAGAAAUUAUUAAUAAUGUGUUCUGCUCAAUGAAUAAUUAAAUAGCCGCAGUACCCUGACUGUGCAAAGGUAGCAUAAUCAUUUGGCUUAUAAUUGAAGUCUUGUAUGAAUGAAACGAUGGGGGAUAACUAUAUCAUAAAUAUAAAUUAAACUUACUUAUAAAGUGCAAAUACUUUAAUUUAAAUAAUAGACGAGAAGACCCUUGAAAUUUUAAGAAUAUGAAUUAGAAGGUUUUUGUUGGGGCAACAAUGUAACAAGUAAUUUACAUUUGAACAUGAAAUUAAAUAGAUUGAAUAAAUUACUCUAGGGAUAACAGCGUAAUAUAUGAAUGUUUGCGACCUCGAUGUUGGAUUAGGAAACAAAAACUUAG
This 741-nucleotide ribosomal RNA is filed under the name Basedowena vulgata. Its description in RNAcentral is "partial 16S ribosomal RNA". The record is from RNAcentral. Lineage: Eukaryota; Metazoa; Mollusca; Gastropoda; Stylommatophora; Camaenidae.